GUGAAUCAUCAAAUUUUUGAACGCAAAUUGCGCUUUUUGCGGAUGGCAUGUCUGUUUCAGGGCACCAUUUAACAAAUAAUGUGCAUUUUUAUGUGGACACGUUGAUGAGCUUUCCAAAAUUAUGUGUUAUUAUUUUUGGUUGCGCAUAAUAAACAGCGCGAUUCUUUUUUUCAGUUCUAGUGUAG
RNAcentral lists this unclassified non-coding RNA (185 nucleotides) under Paraglomus sp. Its description in RNAcentral is "partial internal transcribed spacer 2". Lineage: Eukaryota; Fungi; Glomeromycota; Glomeromycetes; Paraglomerales; Paraglomeraceae. The record is from RNAcentral.